This 372-nucleotide long non-coding RNA is filed under the name Dendronephthya gigantea. Its description in RNAcentral is "uncharacterized LOC114541836, transcript variant X1". The record is from RNAcentral. Lineage: Eukaryota; Metazoa; Cnidaria; Anthozoa; Malacalcyonacea; Nephtheidae.
CCCAAAGAUCAUGGCGGAAUUGCAAUCGAAUGUUUUCGAUUUUGUGUGACUAAUAAUGUUCAUAUUUCAGUUGUAUAAGAGAGUGUUCUCCAUCGCAUCGAAAGCGGUAAAAACUGACAAUUUUUCUACCUUUGAAGUCACCAAUCAAACAAAGCAGGCAAAAGACUAAGAAUAUUACAUUUUCUACCGAGCGCAGAGAAGACCUUAUCACAGAGGCUUUAUUCUACAAAGACUUUGCUGGUCAUAAAAGUGGAAGUGAAUUCGUGUCACCAGGCUCACUGGAUCAGAUUGAUUAAAGAGAUAAUAAAAAUUGGCUUCUUACAACUAUAAAGAUAUAGAACUGAUUGCACUGGUCUCAGAUUAUCCUAGGGA